Molecule: long non-coding RNA, 121 nt
Organism: Melanotaenia boesemani (Boeseman's rainbowfish)
Lineage: Eukaryota; Metazoa; Chordata; Actinopteri; Atheriniformes; Melanotaeniidae
Exons: 4
Source: RefSeq, a predicted model, not a curated record
AAAGCUGUUUUUCAUUGCAGAGAUUAUUUGGCAAGUUUUUUAUGGGGUGUAACACACAUACUCAACUCUGCUGCUCAUCCCACAAAUGCAUUUUCCUUACAAAGGCUGCACCGUUUAAAAG